UAAAGAGUACAUUAUAAGAUUAAUUGGGAGAGCCAAAAUAAGCACUGAUAAGACUUUUGAAUCUCAAGAGUUAAUAAUGUUAAAGGAAUGUGAUUCUAAGUUAUAACAUCCCGAGGGAGAGGUGACUACAAAUUAGUAAAUAUAAGAUUUAGCAAUGAAUAUAAACUUCCAAUUAUGAACCAGAAUCAUGCUAGUAAAUAUUACCUCCUCAUCCCUGUGCAUGAAAUUCAUUGCGCCGUCUAUGUGAUUGUUGUGAUGAGGGCACUUGGGAGCAUUAGCUGGAAGCAGCAAAUAGUUUGGUCCAAGACGGUGCCUCUGGGUGUCACCAUAGGCAAAUAUACGACCCUGGAGAAACUUAUCAUCCGAAUAGUACACACCGGGAACAACAAAAGCAGGAUUAAAGGCAAGCAUUUCAUUUUCAGCGAAGAAGUUAUCGAUGUUCUUGUUCAACACCAAUCGCCCCACUGGCUGCAGAGGGAAAAUGUCCUCAGGCCAGGUCUUUGUGACAUCAAGGGGAUCAAAAUCGAGCCUGUCUUCUUGAUCUGGGUCCAUGGUCUGAAUGAAUAGCUUCCACUCGGGAUAAUUUCCUGCUGCAAUCGAGUCAUACAGAUCUUGAGUGGCAUGGCUGUGAUUAGUACCUCCUACUCUGAUGGCUUCUUCCUCUAAUAAGUUCUUCACUCCACAAGUAGGCCUCCAGUGAAACUUAACAUAGGUUGCUUUGCCAGCCUUGUUAAGAAGAGUAAAAGUGUGAACUCCAGAGCCAUCCAUGUGCCUGUAAUCUUGUGGAACACCAAUGUCAUCAUAGAAGAAAGCAAAUGUGUGCAGACUCUCUGGGUGGUGGGACAAGAAGUCCAUAAUUCUCCAGUUUUCCUGAAUGUGGGACUUGGGAUUGGGCUUAAAUGCAUGGAUCACGUCGGGGAACUUCAUUGCGUCACGCACAAAGAAGACAGGAA
Molecule: long non-coding RNA, 953 nt
Filed under: Daucus carota (carrot)
Lineage: Eukaryota; Viridiplantae; Streptophyta; Magnoliopsida; Apiales; Apiaceae
Description: long non-coding RNA (DCAR_LNC003057)
Source: RNAcentral